RNAcentral lists this ribosomal RNA (508 nucleotides) under uncultured bacterium. RNAcentral describes it as "bacterial SSU rRNA". It matches the Rfam family "Bacterial small subunit ribosomal RNA", at positions 29 to 532 of the family's 1533-position model. The record is from RNAcentral.
AUUGAACGCUGGCGGCAUGCCUAACACAUGCAAGUCGAACGGUAACGCGGGGGCAACCCUGGCGACGAGUGGCGGACGGGUGAGUAAUACGUAGGAAUCUGCCCAUUUGUGGGGGAUAACCCGGCGAAAGCCGGGCUAAUACCGCAUACGCUCUACGGAGGAAAGCGGGGGAUCGUAAGACCUCGCGCUAAUGGAUGAGCCUACGUCGGAUUAGCUAGUUGGUAGGGUAACGGCCUACCAAGGCGACGAUCCGUAGCUGGUCUGAGAGGACGAUCAGCCACACUGGGACUGAGACACGGCCCAGACUCCUACGGGAGGCAGCAGUGGGGAAUAUUGGACAAUGGGGGCAACCCUGAUCCAGCAAUGCCGCGUGUGUGAAGAAGGCCUACGGGUUGUAAAGCACUCCAGAGGGGAAGAAAAAAGUCGGAGCUAUACCUCCGAUCUUGACGUUACCCUUAGAAGAAGCACCGGCUAAACUCCGUGCCAGCAGCCGCGGUAAUACGGAGGG